Molecule: ribosomal RNA, 430 nt
Filed under: Pseudomonadota bacterium
Lineage: Bacteria; Pseudomonadati; Pseudomonadota
Description: Proteobacteria bacterium partial 16S ribosomal RNA
Rfam family: Bacterial small subunit ribosomal RNA
Source: RNAcentral
UGGGGAAUAUUGGACAGUGGGGGGAACCCUGAUCCAGCCAUGCCGCGUGUGUGAAGAAGGCCUUAUGGUUGUAAAGCACUUUAAGCGAGGAGGAGGGUACUGGUAUUAAUACUACCAGCUACUGGACGUUACUCGCAGAAUAAGCACCGGCUAACUCUGUGCCAGCAGCCGCGGUAAUACAGAGGGUGCGAGCGUUAAUCGGAUUUACUGGGCGUAAAGCGUGCGUAGGCGGCUAAUUGAGUCGGAUGUGAAAUCCCCGAGCUUAACUUGGGAAUUGCAUUCGAUACUGGUUAGCUAGAGUGUGGGAGAGAAUGGUAGAAUUCCAGGUGUAGCGGUGAAAUGCGUAGAGAUCUGGAGGAAUACCGAUGGCGAAGGCAGCCAUCUGGCCUAACACUGACGCUGAGGUACGAAAGCAUGGGGAGCAAACAGG